This 253-nucleotide ribosomal RNA is filed under the name uncultured bacterium. Its description in RNAcentral is "partial 16S ribosomal RNA". It matches the Rfam family "Bacterial small subunit ribosomal RNA", at positions 524 to 776 of the family's 1533-position model. The record is from RNAcentral.
UACGGAGGGUGCAAGCGUUAUCCGGAUUUACUGGGUUUAAAGGGUGCGUAGGUGGGUAGGUAAGUCAGUGGUGAAAUCUUCGAGCUUAACUCGGAAACUGCCAUUGAUACUAUCUGUCUUGAAUACUUUGGAGGUAAGCGGAAUAUGUCAUGUAGCGGUGAAAUGCUUAGAUAUGACAUAGAACACCAAUUGCGAAGGCAGCUGGCUACACAAAUAUUGACACUGAGGCACGAAAGCGUGGGGAUCAAACAGG